UAACACUCCCGACAAGUUAAUUUCCUUCAAACGGGCAUUACAAGCAUACAAUAAACAUUGGGACAGAGCACUUUGCUCUAUUAAACUUGCAUAACACACAUAUGGAUAUACGCUUUUAAAUGUCUAUAUUCGAUUUUCAUACAUUGUUUUACCCGUCUGGGAUACAGGUAUUAAUAACCUUUACGACCAGUAAGGGUAUCUAAUCAUACUACCAGG
Pelobates cultripes (western spadefoot toad) is the source of this 216-nucleotide non-coding RNA. The record is from the annotation of a GenBank genome assembly. NCBI's taxonomy places the organism in Eukaryota, Metazoa, Chordata, Amphibia, Anura, Pelobatidae.